AAGUCGUAACAAGGUUUCCGUAGGUGAACUGCGGAAGGAUCAUUGUCGAAAAUUGCCAAGCAGGGCGACCCGCGGACAUGUUGAAAUAAAUCGUCGGGGGCACGGCGUCUAACGUGGCACGGCGCCCUCGACUGCCGGCCGGGCCCGCACCUUACGGCCUGCUCCAGGAGCGGCAACGGGGGUGCGGGACAAGGCUUGGCACAAGAACGAACCCCGGCGCGGAUCGCGCCAAGGAACGGUAACGUAGCGUGCGUUGCCUUGCCGCCGGAUGCCCGGCGAGCGAGGUGGCGGCCGGUCGUAUCUGAACGACUCUCGGCAACGGAUAUCUCGGCUCUCGCAUCGAUGAAGAACGUAGCGAAAUGCGAUACUUGGUGUGAAUUGCAGAAUCCCGUGAACCAUCGAGUCUUUGAACGCAAGUUGCGCCCGAAGCCUCUAGGCUGAGGGCACGUCUGCCUGGGCGUCACGCAUAGCGUCGCCCCCGACCAAGCCAUCGCGUCUCUGCAUGCUUGGUUGGGGCGGAGAGUGGCCUCCCGUGCGCCGUUGUGCGGUUGGCCUAAAAUCGGAGCUCGGCGACUGCGCCACGACGUCCGGUGGGGGACAGGGCGAAGGCCAAGGUUGCAUCGCGUCGCGCUCGGCCCGUCGUCGGUGAAGCUCGCACGACCCCGUCGCGCCGUC
Molecule: ribosomal RNA, 675 nt
Filed under: Nepenthes glandulifera
Lineage: Eukaryota; Viridiplantae; Streptophyta; Magnoliopsida; Caryophyllales; Nepenthaceae
Description: eukaryotic LSU rRNA
Rfam family: 5.8S ribosomal RNA (bases 308-463)
Source: RNAcentral